This is a long non-coding RNA of Cygnus olor (mute swan), 1337 nucleotides long. RefSeq lists it as uncharacterized. NCBI's taxonomy places the organism in Eukaryota, Metazoa, Chordata, Aves, Anseriformes, Anatidae. The transcript has 2 exons. The record is from RefSeq and is a predicted model, not a curated record.
GGUGUGCACUUGCACGUGGGAGGGGGGCUUGCACGGGGCUGUGCAUGCUCACGCAGCACUGUGGGCGAUGCACAAGGGCACAAGCUUGCACAGAAGCACGCUUGGACAAGGGCUGAGUGUGGGUUUGCGCACAGGAGCGUGCUGGCACAGGGGCCGUGUGCUCACCGUGCAUGGCAUGAGCGUGUUUGCACGGGGCUGUGUGUGCUUGCACGGGGGUGUGCCCCCCAGGGGACCACGCACCUUCCCACGGCAGCUGCGCGUGCCCCUUGCACGAGGCCUUGCACAAGGGCUGGCUCACACAGGCCCAGCACACGCCUUCCCCUGGCACAGGGCAUUUGCACAAGGUGCCUUGCACGAGGCUGCCCUUGCACAAGCGUGGCAGUUGGGCACUGGUGACGCGGUGCUUACAAGAGGUGCGCGUGCCCUUGCACAGGCUAACACGGGCCUUGCACAGAGCCCUUUGCGCAAGCGUGUGAGCGUGUGUGCUCACAGGGGCGUGCAAGCCUCUAGCACGAGGGUUUGACCUCACGGCGUGCACACCUAGAGGCGCGUGCUGGGUGGGUCCUUUGCACUGGGGUGUGCACACGCUGGGGACGUCUGCUCACGGGCGUGCUUGUGCCCCUCGCAUGAGGCUGCACUCUCAGCAAGCGAGGGGGCACAGGGGGUGCGUGUGCCCUUUGCACAGGGGUGCAGGCUCCCUGGGGCACCUGCAGACCCCUCGCUGCUGGCUGCAAUCUCCUUGGGGUGCGUGCAAGCCCCUUACGGGGGGGGGGGGGGGGGUGCAGGCUUUUUGGGGUGCAUGCAAGCUCUUAGCAAACAGGUGCACGGUCUUGGGGUGCACGCGGACCCCUUGCAAACAGGUGCAUGCUCCACAGGGUGCAUGCAAGCCCCUUGCAGAUGGGUGCAGGCUUUUUGGGGUGCAUGCAAACUCUUAGCAAACAGGUGCAGGCUAUUGGGGUGCACACAAACCUCUUUUAAAUGGGUGCAUGCUCCAUGGGGUGCACGCAAGCCCCUAGCAGAUGGGUGCAGGCUCUUUGGGGUGCAUGAAGCCCCUUGCAAAGGGGUGCAGCCUGUUGGGGUGCAUGAGAACCCCUCCUAAAUGGGUGCACACUCUUUGGGGUGCACGCAGCCCCCUAGCAAAUGGAUGCGGGCUUUUUGGGGCGCACGCAAACCCCUUACAAAUGGGUGCACUCUUUGGGGCGCACGCAAGCUCUUAGCAAACGGGUGCACGCUCCCUGGGGUGCAUGAAGCCCCCCUGGCAGAGGGGAGCAGCCCCCCGGGGUGCACGCAGCCCCCCCCCCCAGGACCCCGUGGGCGCACUGACCGUGUCCCCGCAG